UACGGAGGAUGCGAGCGUUAUCCGGAUUUAUUGGGUUUAAAGGGUGCGUAGGCGGGCUGUUAAGUCAGCGGUCAAAUGUCGGGGCUCAACCCCGGCCUGCCGUUGAAACUGGCGGCCUCGAGUGGGCGAGAAGUAUGCGGAAUGCGUGGUGUAGCGGUGGAAUGCGUAGAUAUAUGGAAGAACACCAGUGGCGAAAGCGGCUCUCUGGUCUGUAACUGACGCUGAGGUUCGAAAGCGUGGGUAGCAAACAGG
RNAcentral lists this ribosomal RNA (252 nucleotides) under uncultured bacterium. RNAcentral's name for it is "partial 16S ribosomal RNA". It matches the Rfam family "Bacterial small subunit ribosomal RNA", at positions 524 to 776 of the family's 1533-position model. The record is from RNAcentral.